RNAcentral lists this non-coding RNA (226 nucleotides) under Pseudobacillus badius. Its description in RNAcentral is "Bacillus badius T-box sequence". It matches the Rfam family "T-box leader". Rfam says of the family: Uncharged tRNA acts as the effector for transcription antitermination of genes in the T-box leader family. T-boxes are found upstream of many aminoacyl-tRNA synthetase genes and some amino acid biosynthetic genes usually in Gram-positive bacteria. Lineage: Bacteria; Bacillati; Bacillota; Bacilli; Caryophanales; Bacillaceae. The record is from RNAcentral.
UCACAAGUGUUGAUAAGGACAUGAGCAUUUUCUUACGGUUUCCAGAGAGGGAGAGCAAGGCUGAAACUUUCCUAACACGAAGAUUGUGCUUACCGCCUUUGAACUUCGGCCGUGAACGCAGCAAUGCCAGUAAUGGACCGACGGCAGCAGCCGUUAUCUGAUCUGGAGAUUUCAACAUUUUUGUUGAAAAGUAGGGUGGAAUCGCGAAUUAAACCUCGUCCCUUCG